This is a long non-coding RNA of Anolis carolinensis (green anole), 2768 nucleotides long. NCBI's taxonomy places the organism in Eukaryota, Metazoa, Chordata, Lepidosauria, Squamata, Anolidae. The record is from Ensembl.
GGAAGUUGAAGGAUGGUAUCUGAAAUAGUUCCAAGGUGUUUUUUGUUUUUGUUUUUGCUGUUUGCCCUUAGCAACUGAGUAAUCAGUAUAUCAGAAGACCAAGCCGAGAGAAACUCUUGAUAAACUAGAUCAAUAAAGUAUAUCAUUUAAAGCACUUGGGAUUUAAUCUACUCUGUUCUGUAUCCAUCCAAAUGCUUUACUGAGAUGUAGUUGUUUAUUAUUUGUGGAUAGACUAUUUGAGAUAGUGGAUAGACUUAUAAUGUAGAUAACCAACUUAUAGGGGCAGGUAUAAUGUGCUUUCCUCUUAGUAUAAUGGAAUUGGAAAUAUGUAUUUCAGUUUUUAUUUAUAUUAAAUGAAUUGUAAAAUAAGAUCAAUUUUUUACUUUAUUUUAAGAUGCUAAAAUCAAAUGAGUAUUGUGAAAACUGGAAUCCAUGCCCAAUUUACUCAAAGUCCGAAAAGUGUUUGACGUCUGUGCCAAAUAAAAGCAACAGAAGACACCAGGAAGAUGGUGUAAGUUAUUCAAAGUCCAAGAAACCAAGAAUCAAUAAACCACCAAACUCAAAAAAGGUAUGUCAAUAUUAGAAGGCAUUUUCCCUCUAGUUAUACUAAAAAAGAAAUAAAAAUUAAGUUAGUGUUUGUCAAUUGUGUUCCAUUUUUGAAAGACAAGAAUUCUAUUUCUUUGUUAUCAAGGUACAAAUUAACUUAACUUGUGGGGCACUGCAGCAGGUUUGUCCAGGUAUGACUGGCUACCUUCAGAGUUAAUCCAGAACAUAAAUGCUCCAAACUGGCCCCAGCUUUACCAGCCAGUAUAGUCUCAUCCUCAGGGAAUAAUGAGUUUAAGAGGAAGGCUUCUCACAGAGAUCUCAGAGUUGAGAUAGGCUUUAAUAAGAAAAUAUGGACCAACGUUAUCUUAUCAAUACUUUGAUCCAAGCUCAAAAAAGACAGGUAGCUAGUUAAAUCAUUGUGACAUUCUUCCUGUAAUUGGUCCUAAUUAGCAGUCUGGCUUCAACAUUCAGGACCAGCUGAAAUAUCCCAAACAUUUUCAAAGGCAGCUCAUUAUAGUAAUCAAAAUAUGAAUAAAUAAGGCAUGCAUCACUGUAGUCAGAUCAGAAAUAUAUAAGAAUUGUAGUUGCCACAUUGCUGCAAAUAUGAUGUGCAGAGGCAUUCCUAGCCACCACCAAAACCCAGGCAUCCAGGUUCAGGACUCAACCCAGAAGUUCAUGCAAACUGAGUUUUCAAGAAGAGGGUAGGCUUUUAUGGCAUAGCUUGAGUUCCUACUUUGUGAUCUACUUUAGACUCUCCAGGUCCACCUGUCUCUAGUCUGAAUGUCCAGUGUGUUCUCUCUCAUCUAGUUCAAUAUUGACACAAGAACAGCUUCUUUGAAUUGAGAGAGAGAGAGAAUUAUGGUUGUCAUCACCUAACUUAUUUAAUAGUGAGAUCACAGUGUUUGCUGUACUGCACUUUCUUUUCUAGUAUGUAUGUUUUGCAGGUUUGUGUAGUUUUCAUAAAGCAGUAAAUCCUGUUUGACAUGAGGUAACAAUAGGAGAAAUGAAGCAUUUCUACACUUAUAAGAAACAAAGUUUCGCUCAAGUAUAUUUCAGUCCUUUAAAAAUUGUCUGUCUCAAACAAGAUAUAUAUGAAUAGGACGGGUCUACCUUUCUCUGUGACUCACAACUUUCAAUCUAAUGAGUCUUGCUAGUAGCUUGUCACUUUUCCAUGCCCAAACAUAUCUCCCUUUUUGUUUGUAAGCUGCACUUUAUGUAUUUAUAUUAUGUUUUGCAUAUGUAAGAAUUGGUUUUGAGUUAUUUUUAUUUAUUUAUUUUGUUAUUAUAGGAGCUGCUCAGAACACAGAAGAUCUUUUGGGCCUCUGUCCCAGAACAGUAGUAGUUAUUUUGGUUGUUUUAAUCAGCUUUUAAAUAUAUGUUUGUCUAUAAAUGAUAAACAUUGCUAGUGUACCUUUAUGACAGUGUGAAAUUGCAAAAGAAUAAGACAAUACAUAUAUUGGACUUAUUUUCUGUUGUUGAAAGCAUGUACAAACUUCUGGGAUGUAACCCAAAAUUUUAUUUUACUUAGAAAAUGUUGAAUAUGUUAUCUAGUUGAUUUGACCUGUUUGUUUAAUAAAGUUUGUUUCUGCUUAAAAAUUCUCUUCCUUUUGCAUGUGACUGAUUUUUAUCAAUGCACGAAGUGAUAAAUGCGAACGUUGGACAUAAUUACUGAUUUAUUCAUAGAACAGAAGUCAAGAACAAGGCAGCACUAUGUUUUGUGUAUAGCGUGACCAUUCUUUUGUUUUCUGUGACACUGGACAACAAAUUACUUUCAGUGCAGACCUAGACUGAGAUAUGCCAAACGCUCUGUGAAAUAUUACUCUUACUAACAUAAAAUCUAGUUUAUGUUAAUGGGUUCAACAAGCAUCUAAUUGGCAAUUGCCCUGUGAAAAUGGGCAUCAGGAUUCUGAUCUCCACCAGGCAAUAGAGUCACACACUCUCAGCUUUAGCCUAUUAGUUUUCGGAGCAGACCAGGAGGUUUUCAGAGACUUGCAUAGAGGUUGUAAUCAUUGACAAUAAGGACACAUUUUAUUCUUGGAACAUUUAAGAAUGCUCUUUUUCUCAUUUUAAAUGUGCUUGUCCCCUUUUGGAAAUCCCCUCCCUCAAAGGACUAGACAGUCCAUAAUACAUUUAAUUCAUUCAUUAAUUGACUCACUAAAGUAUGAGAUUGACUUGGUGUUAAUCAGGAAACCUAGUGAGUUGGCCACACUGCAAUAAAGAAA